CCCGCACAAGCGGUGGAGCAUGUGGUUUAAUUCGACGCAACGCGAAGAACCUUACCUGGGUUUGACAUCCCGAUCGUACUCUAUGGAAACAUAGGGGUCAGUUCGGCUGGAUCGGUGACAGGUGCUGCAUUGGCUGUCGUCAGCUCGUGUCGUGAGAUGUUGGGUUAAGUCCCGCAACGAGCGCAACCCUUGUCCUUAGUUGCCACCAUUCAGUUGGGCACUCUAAGGAGACUGCCGGUGUUAAACCGGAGGAAGGUGGGGAUGACGUCAAGUCCUCAUGGCCCUUAUAUCCAGGGCUACACACGUGCUACAAUGGCCGGUACAAAGGGUCGCAAUACCGCGAGGUGGAGCUAAUCCCAAAAAGCCGGUCUCAGUUCGGAUUGGAGUCUGCAACUCGACUCCAUGAAGUCGGAAUCGCUAGUAAUCGCGUAUCAGCGUGACGCGGUGAAUACGUUCCCGGGCCUU
This 465-nucleotide ribosomal RNA is filed under the name uncultured Geothermobacter sp. RNAcentral describes it as "bacterial SSU rRNA". It matches the Rfam family "Bacterial small subunit ribosomal RNA", at positions 920 to 1382 of the family's 1533-position model. Lineage: Bacteria; Pseudomonadati; Thermodesulfobacteriota; Desulfuromonadia; Desulfuromonadales; Geothermobacteraceae. The record is from RNAcentral.